UGAACCCCUCAAAUUAGAGCCAGAACACUUGUCAGCUCUACCAGAUAUAAAACAGGCUAUCCUGUCUGACCCUGCUCUAGGCAUCCCAGAUUACAACAAGCCAUUUACUUUGUAUGUACAUGAGCAAAGAGGAGUAGCUUCAAGUGUUUUAACUCAUACUUUGGGGCCUUCUCAGCACCUAAUUGCUUAUUAUUCUGCCCAACUGGACCCAGUAGCAUCAGGAGCACCACCAUGUCUUAGAGGAGUAGCUGCUACAGCCUUACUAGUGAAAAAAAUUGUUGAUCUAGUAUUGGGAUGCCCAUUACUAAUUAUGUGCCCACAUGAGAUAGAAGCAUUAUUACUAAGGCAUAGAAUAUAGGCAUUCUCAGAUCAGUGAAUUACGAGGUAUGAAAUAACCUUGUUAAAUAGAAAAAACAUUACCUUGAAACACUGUUCAACCCUUAACCCUGCCACUUUGCUUCCAGAUUUACCAACUUCAGGAGAACCAUUACAGUUGUGAAACACUAGUGUCCAUGGCAGAAAAGCCUCGAGAUAAUCUCUUGGAUACUCCCUUAGACAAUCCAGAUCUGAUCUUAUUUACUGAUGGUUCCUCUUUUAUGAGGGAUGGCAUAUGAUACACUGGAGUUGCUGUAAUCUCAGAAUUUGCCACUGAGUGGUCAGUUUCACUGCUUUCUAAUAUUAGUGCUCAAGGGGCAGAACUCAUAGCUCUGAAACAUGCCUAUAUAAUUGACAAGGAUAAAAGGGCAACAAUUUAUAUGGAUUCUAGAUAUGCUUUUAGCAUUUUCAUUUGGUUGGGAUGCUAUGGCUCCAGAGAGGAUUUUUAAACUCAGCUGGAAAAUCUAUAGCUAAUGGAGAAAUUAUUAAUGAAGUUCUUUCUGCUCUCCAGUUGCUGGAAGCCCUAGCUGUAGUUCAUUGCUCUGCCCAUACAGGUGACACUGUCCUUGUCUCUAGGGGAAAUGAUUGAGCAGUUGCCGCUGCAAAGCUAGCAGCCACAGAAGGGCCUGAAUUAAUUUUAUCAUUAACAACCAUUGAUGAGUUGAAUUUAUCACUUUCCUAUAAUGAAAAGGAAGUGGGAAAAUGGAAGCAAAAAUUCAAAGCAAAACAAAUUAAUGGAGUAUGGGUGUCAUCUGAAGGAAAACCCCUGCUCCCUAGAAGUUUCUAUCACCAAAUUUGCCAAUAUAUUCAUAAAAAUGGUCAAUUUGGUAGCCUGGGCAUCAUGGUCUCUGUUAAGAGAAUAUGGAUAGCCCCUGGUAUAACUACUAUAGCCUCUAAAGUGUGUUCAGCCUGCUCUACCUGCCAAGCAUAUAACCAACAUGCCUUCUGUGGCAAAGCCUUUGGUGGGCAUCCUUUGGCUUACUCACCUUUUGAGCACCUACCAAUAGAUUUCAUAACAAUUUAAAAGGCCAGACAUUAUAAAUUUCGUCUAGUCAUGGUAGAUCAACUGACCACAUGGCUGAAAGCAUUGCCUGCUACCCAAGCCACAGCCACAGCGGCUUUUGUUGCAAAGUGUUUUUAAAAGAAAUUAUUCCUCCCUUUGGCCUGCCAGCACAUAUUGAUUCAGAUAGAGGAAGUCAUUUUACUGAUUCUGUCCUAAAUCAGAUAUAUUCUUGCUUGGGGAUAACUCCAAAAUUCCAUGUUCCAUAUCAUCCCCAGAGCUCAGGCCAAGUUGAAAGGAUGAACAAAGAACUUAAAAAUAUGAUUGGCAAAUUAUGCACUGAGACAUAUUUAAAAUGGACUGAAAUUCUUCCUCUGGUCCUAUUUUAUCUUAGAAGGAGGCCUAGAGGAGACCUACACAUCUCACUAUUUGAGAUGUUUUUUGGACAUCCACCUAUAAAGGGUAAGCCUUUCUCCCCUGCAUAUACAUCGCUAUUAGGGGGAGAUACUACAAUUUCUUCCUAUAUACAGGAAUUACAGCACAAACUAUGUGAACUUCAUGAAUCCGGAGCUGCAGUACAAGCUGGACCACUAGACUUUUCUCUUCAUGACCUGAACCCAGGAGACAAGGAAAUGGGAUCAAAAAGGAGCCAUACUUAACCUGAACAGUGCUAAAAGAGCACACAGGUCAAAAAAAGAAAGCAAUCCAGAUUAUACAUUCCCCUGUCUUCUUCAAUCAGUCCUCAAGUGUGAUGAUUUCAAGGUACUUCACUGUGCUGGACAUCCUCCUCUGAUCCUCCAUAUGCCUUCCUAAGCUGUGGCUCCCAGAAAGGGGCACAAUACUUCAGAUGAAUUGUGACCAGGAUCCACAAUAUUGUCUGUAUCGUAACCCUGAAUAGUGCACUUCUUGUAGACAAACUUCUAUCUAGGCAUCGAGUUAGGAUCCAUAUGUCCCUAGUGUUUAGCACUUUCUCUUUUGAGGACAGAACAUAGGAUGGGGAUAGAUUACAUAAGGGAAGAGAAUAAGCAUUUAAGUAGCACCUACUAUGUGUCAGGCACUGUGCUAAGUGUCUUUUAUUUACAAGUAUUAUCUCACUUGAUCCUCACAACUACCCUGCAAAAGGAGGUGCUAUAAUUAUCAUAUCCAUUUUAUAGCUGAGGAAACUGAGACUGACAGAGGUUCAAUGACUUGCCCAGGGUCAUCUAUAGCUAAUGUCAGAAGCUAGAUUUAAACUGACACAUAGUAAAAGCUUAAAUGCUUAUAUCCUUUUCUUCACUCAAUUAGUUAAGUGUUGGAAGAUCAGUUUCCCCAUAGUGUUACCUAUUCAUUCAGUCAUUUCUGACUUCAGUCCUACAUAGUCUUUAAGAGACACAGAGACCCAAAUCUAUACAUUGUGCCACCAGCUGCCUCUGGGGAAACAUUAGGAACCUCUAGGUAGCCAAAGGUUCUUCCCUAUAACUAGAAAGUGACCCAUCUGCAAUAUAGAGUCUUGAAUUCCUUAUUCAGAGGGGCCUUAUAGGAAGAAGAGACUAGGUGGAUGCUAAAUUGAUAGAAAAGGGAAGGGGAUUAAGGUUUGAUACUUCAAGUUUUAGAAGAAUUGAAAGACUGAGAUAUGAGGAUGAGUAUAUAAUGUUUGGGACAGCUGAGGAUCAUAGAGUGUUUUCUACUUUGGAAAAAGUGAUUCUGCCUUUAUUCUGAGUGACAGGCCCGAUAAUAAAAUGGAGCUCAAGAUAAAUGUUGGAAACUAGGGGUCGGUGAUACAAGUCAGGACAGCAAAGGGGUCUUAUAGGAAACAAUAUCACCAAAAGAGGGGUAUAUGGGCUGUUCAGGGAGGAGUAGUAUCUCUGGUAUGGAGGGCUUGUCGUGCCCUCUUAGGGCAGCUCUCCAACCUCUGACCCUCACCUGACACCCAACUCUCACUUGUGGCUCCCAGUAGCUGCUAGCAUGCGGCAGUGGCCACACCCUGGUCAACGGCUUCUACAGGCCGGCUAAACCUUGUGAGGGUAGCCAUUGGGUCGUAGACCCCUGGUGAACCAGGGCUUUGCUCACCCAGCAUGUGAAGACUGUUUCGACCGAACAGACGGAAGCAACCAAUAAGAAGGUUCAACGGCUGAGAUGGCGAUGUAGCAAAGCACUGUGGAGUGCUUAGGGCGUGUUGGAGCACAAAAGACAACAUGGCCAUCCAAUGCAGCUGAGGAAGUCUCCAGGUGUAAUGAUUUUUCAUGCCAAUGGACCCAGACUUUCAAUGCCGAGAGAGUGGGACUGUCUCUGUGCAUCAACUUUUCCACUUAAAUCUCCUUCACGCACAAGUGUUUUUGUGCACACUCAUCUACAUCACAGAUGAAAGCGCACAAAGACAAUCAUCAUCCUUGGUUACUAAGAGACUACUACUAUCACCAGAAGAUGGGAGAGACUUAUAGGUAGCAACAACCUGAUUGGUGUUCCCAAUUAACUCAAGAGUUCUUCAGGCUGUCACCUCAGCUAUCUAUUCUCUACUUGGCUAGCCACCAGAAUAAUCUUAAAUUUUAUUUUUCCCCAAUUACACAUAGCAACAGUUUCCAACAUUUUUCAAAUGAUAUUGAGUCUCAAAUUCUCUCCUUCUUGCCCCACAACCUUUCCCCUAUUGAGAUGGUAAAUAGUUGUAAGGAAUUAAAAUUAUUGGUUUGACUAAAAUAUGUGAAAAUUAUAAAUAGUAUGGUGAUCACCGAUUUAAAAUAUUAUAGUUAGUUGAAAUGACUUUCUAUAGUUUUUAUUUACAAAAUAGUUGGGAAGAGUGAAAGUUGAGAAAUACAAACAGAGGGUAGAGAAAUUAUUUAGCCUAUCACUAAAUAUUACUCUGGUGUUCAACUCAGCCUGGCACAAUUUGUUAACCCUUGACCAGAAUUAAUCUCUCUCUAGAAGUCAGGAAAGGAAAGCCAACUGUUCACUCACUCAAGUUCCCUCCAAGAGGCAGUUCAAGCUAAAGAUGACCUGUCGAGGACAACUCCUGAAGUCAAUGUCUAGCCCCAGAAAUUCAGGGCCCCUCUUCACAGGGGCCAAUCACAGUUUUCAAAUUGUCUAGCACUGACCAGAGAGGGCAGUGUCUUGCGGGAUCCACUUCUCAUCCUCUGGAGGUGUAAAUGCUUAUCAAAAGCAUGCACAAUUUCCUGACUGAUUGAGUUGUUACCCACUUUAGCAAAUGACUUGUAAACACUCUUACUUAGUGUCUGAUGAGGUACUAAGUAGGGGUACUAAAAGAAAGUCUAAUUCACACUUCAUGGACUGGUCAAUUACAAAGGAGGGGUACUUAAGUUAGUGUUAACCAAGUGUUAACUCAAAGUACACAAAGAGAAUGAAGAGUUCCCUUUCACACGUCUUGUAUAGAUUUUACAUGUGCAACCAUGUAAAAUAAUUUGCCAUAUUAUUCUUUUAGUGGAAGGAAAUUCAUAUAAAAAAUUAAGAAAGAAAGUGAAAAAUGUUUGCAUUGGUCUGGAUUUAAGACUCUAUCAGUUUUUUUCCUUUGGAAACAGUUGUUAUUUUUUGCCAUGAGUUCUUUGGGAUAGUUUUGGAUCAUUGUAUUUCUGAGAAUAGCUGUUAUUCAUAGUUGUUCAAUGUACAGUAUUCCUGUCACUAUUAUCAGUAUUCUCCUGGUUCUGCUUAUUUCACUUUCCUUCAGUUCAUGUAAGACUUCCCAGUUUUUUCCUUACAGCACAAUAAUAUUCCAUUAUGAUCAGAUACUAUAUACUCAGCCAUUCCCAAAUUCAUGUGUAUCCUCUCACUUUCCAAUUCUAUGUCUUCUUCAAAAAGAGCUACUUUAAUUAUUUUUAUACUUAUAAGCCUUUCCUGUUUU
This is a non-coding RNA of Monodelphis domestica (gray short-tailed opossum), 5204 nucleotides long. The record is from RefSeq and is a predicted model, not a curated record. NCBI's taxonomy places the organism in Eukaryota, Metazoa, Chordata, Mammalia, Didelphimorphia, Didelphidae.